AGUCGAAAUGCGCGCUCUUUGGGCGCUGCAUCACCAUACAGUGGUGUGUAUGGUCUGAUGAUGGCAGCCAAAA
RNAcentral lists this non-coding RNA (73 nucleotides) under Methanobrevibacter sp. Lineage: Archaea; Methanobacteriati; Methanobacteriota; Methanobacteria; Methanobacteriales; Methanobacteriaceae. The record is from RNAcentral.